RNAcentral lists this transfer RNA (87 nucleotides) under Lysobacteraceae bacterium. RNAcentral's name for it is "tRNA-Leu". It matches the Rfam family "tRNA". Rfam says of the family: Transfer RNA (tRNA) molecules are approximately 80 nucleotides in length. The record is from RNAcentral. Lineage: Bacteria; Pseudomonadati; Pseudomonadota; Gammaproteobacteria; Lysobacterales; Lysobacteraceae.
GCCGAAGUGGCGGAAUCGGUAGACGCAGCGGACUCAAAAUCCGCCGGUGGCAACACCGUGAGGGUUCGAGUCCCUCCUCCGGCACCA